RNAcentral lists this ribosomal RNA (253 nucleotides) under uncultured bacterium. RNAcentral's name for it is "partial 16S ribosomal RNA". It matches the Rfam family "Bacterial small subunit ribosomal RNA", at positions 524 to 776 of the family's 1533-position model. The record is from RNAcentral.
AACGUAGGAGGCAAACGUUAUCCGGAGUUACUGGGCGUAAAGGGCGUGUGGGCGGUUUGUUAAGUCUGGCGUGAAAGCUCUCGGCUAAACCGGGAGAGGUCGUUGGAUACUGGCAAACUAGAGGACGGUAGAGGCGUGUGGAAUUCCGGGUGUAGUGGUGAAAUGCGUAGAGAUCCGGAGGAACACCAGUGGCGAAGGCGACACGCUGGGCCGUACCUGACGCUAAAGCGCGACAGCAUGGGGAGCAAACGGG